Oncorhynchus tshawytscha (Chinook salmon) is the source of this 1902-nucleotide long non-coding RNA. RefSeq lists it as uncharacterized. Lineage: Eukaryota; Metazoa; Chordata; Actinopteri; Salmoniformes; Salmonidae. The record is from RefSeq and is a predicted model, not a curated record. The transcript has 3 exons.
AACAACAUAAAACACGGGAAAAUAGAUACAACUGAGUGUUUAUAUGUUUUCCCACCAAAGAAAUUAUGAAGCUUAUUGAAUGCCAUUGUAGGAAAGGGUUGUUUUCUUUAAAUUGAGAAUUACAACAAACUGACAUUAACAGGGUGAAAAGUGUUAUCAGUGACACACCGGAAAUCUUAAAUAAAAUACAAUAAUCAUGAAUAAAGGGUUAUUGAUAAGAGAAAAUGUAAAUAGAACUAGAAAAUAAUGAAGAUUUAAAAUGUUAUUAUAAUGGCUUAUAUUUCUCAUGGAAGUUGAUGAAUAACAUCAGGGGCCAUGGGAAAAAUGCCUACAUCUACUGAAAAUGUUUUCAAAACGCAUAAAAUAUCCCUUUAAGAUGCACAUUUUUGUGUUUUUAAGGUAAAGGACUCCUGACCUUAUAUUUAAAGUCUUUUGGAAUCCACAUUUUCACUAAGUAAGAAGUGAUAUUUCCUGGGGAUAGAAAAGGCUCAAGGCAUUGUCGGAAUGACCCCAGCUAACGUUAGCAACUCACCAGUAGUGAGGGGGUUUGUUGUCAGCCACAUUGAAGUAUCCUGAGUACUGUUUGAAGUUAGGCUGCUUUUGAAGCCCAUGGAGGAACUUUAUUGUAUCUGCUUCAGGUGUCCCAAUAGUCACCGACGCUCCCAACAGCAGGGACAACCCAAAUUAAACAUUUUGGGGUAAAAUGUCAUGCAAUGUUAAUAAUUUGUUAGUUGGAGCUCGUGAUGGGUUGUCACUAGUUACGACAGCCACAAAGUAAAACGAGGCUAUAAUAGGCGGGGUUUAGAUAUAAUUAUGGCUUUGUGGCUGUUGUAACUAGUAACGACUUCGCGAUGAGCUGGUCCCAUGACAGCUCAAUACUAGCGCGUAUCAAAUUGCGCAUACUGUUAGGUUCCGCACCUCAAAUUGGGAUGGUUGAUGGUUGGUUGUUUACUAUUCGUUUCUGGUGACCCAAAUUUGUAUUAUUUUGUAUCUUGGUGGAUAAUUUGGCAAUUGCAGUGUAUGCGUCAGUUGAUGAAGACAAUACAAAAAGUAAACAAACAUGCUCAGCCUCAGUCGCAAAGAAAAUGCAGUUUUCCCCGUGAUCCCGAAAGAAGAUCAGAACUUCUACUUUGAAGGCGCAACUGGAAAACACACGACCGAUCGCGGCUGUGCGAGGUUCUUGACUCCAGAGGAGCUGGAUAGUCCCAGAGUAUUUGAGGGUCAGGAGGGAAUGCAUCGUAAGAGCCGACUCACAUGCAGCCUUGCAUCCCACUGCGACGGCUGCCAACCUUGGCGCAACACUUGACCUUGUCAUCACAUAAUUCCAUGGUCACAUAGUUCCAUGCGGGCAAUAGACCAGUUGUACACUAUUCUCCCUAUUGUAAUUCUAUGUACGCUAAUCUUCCAACAUUACCAUGGGUUGUAGAACUGAAUGUGGCAAUUUUCAGAAUUCAUCAAAUCACUUGUCCUUUUCUUUCAUCCAUAAAGGCUCUCCCAACACAUUUUCACUUGAUGCCUACAGAUAAUGAAAAGGUGUGUUACGUUCCCCAGUUUCUGUGUUGUGGUUUUGCUUAUAUGUGUAUGUUUCAGGAAAUGGCUUCCUGGAUUCCCCCAAGCAGUUGAUUGGUCGGCCCCAUUGCUAAUUGGAGCUGACCCCACCCUCUCGUCAGAGAAUACAACUGUAUCCCAUGACAGACUCCUUCUCCAGCUAGAAAAGCCAGUGUUCCUUUGCUGAGAGAGAGCUGAUGGUUAUGUUCUGUGUUUGUUGCUCAGACAGAGAGCUUAUUUGUAUGUCCUGUGUUGGUUGUUGCUGAGAAGGAGCUGAUGGUUAUGUCCUGUGUUGGUUGUUGCUCAGAGACAGGCUUUUUGUUCCCAGGGGGGGAAGGGGAAGGCACCUAGGGA